This 424-nucleotide ribosomal RNA is filed under the name uncultured bacterium. RNAcentral's name for it is "bacterial SSU rRNA". It matches the Rfam family "Bacterial small subunit ribosomal RNA", at positions 356 to 771 of the family's 1533-position model. The record is from RNAcentral.
GGGGAAUAUUGGACAAUGGGGGGCAACCCUGAUCCAGCCAUGCCGCGUGUGUGAAGAAGGCCUUCGGGUUGUAAAGCACUUUCAGUAGGGAGGAAGGCCUGUAGAUUAAUACUCUGCAGGAUUGACGUUACCUACAGAAGAAGCACCGGCUAACUCCGUGCCAGCAGCCGCGGUAAUACGGAGGGUGCAAGCGUUAAUCGGAAUUACUGGGCGUAAAGCGCGCGUAGGCGGUUAGUUAAGCUGGAUGUGAAAGCCCCGGGCUCAACCUGGGAACUGCAUUCAGAACUGGCUGGCUAGAGUACGAGAGAGGGUAGUGGAAUUUCCUGUGUAGCGGUGAAAUGCGUAGAUAUAGGAAGGAACAUCAGUGGCGAAGGCGACUGCCUGGCUCGAUACUGACGCUGAGGUGCGAAAGCGUGGGGAGCAA